This 253-nucleotide ribosomal RNA is filed under the name uncultured bacterium. Its description in RNAcentral is "partial 16S ribosomal RNA". It matches the Rfam family "Bacterial small subunit ribosomal RNA", at positions 524 to 776 of the family's 1533-position model. The record is from RNAcentral.
UACGGGGGGGGUAAGCGUUGUUCGGAAUUAUUGGGCGUAAAGAGCGUGUAGGCGGCCAGGUAGGUCUGGUGUGAAAACUCGAGGCUUAACCUUGAGAUGUCAUCGGAAACCAUUUGGCUAGAGUCCGGAAGAGGAAAGUGGAAUUCCUGGUGUAGCGGUGAAAUGCGCAGAUAUCAGGAAGAACACCAAUGGCGCAAGCAGCUUUCUGGGACGGUACUGACGCUGAGACGCGAAAGCGUGGGGAGCGAACAGG